Long non-coding RNA from Alligator mississippiensis (American alligator), 1850 nucleotides. RefSeq lists it as uncharacterized. The record is from RefSeq and is a predicted model, not a curated record. Lineage: Eukaryota; Metazoa; Chordata; Crocodylia; Alligatoridae. The transcript has 2 exons.
CGCACGUAUGUACCCCCGCCCCCCCGGCGACGCGCCGCGCGGCGCGCCUACCGUAACUACCGCCGCGCGCCGCGCGCGCCACAUCGUUACCAUAAACCCAGAAUAUUUUGCUGAGGUGAUGAUACCAUUGCUCUGAGCAAGGUGAGAGAGUCAGAGGUUACAAACCUGGAAAGGCACUUCAAAUCUUAAUAGAAUAAUUAUUUCAAGGUGCUUUCCUAAAGUUUACAAGCAGUACUACUUUAGUCCACACACACUGUUUUUAAUUGUUUUGCAACUACGAAGCUUAAACACUUAAACAUUAACGCCUUAAGUUCAAAUACCACCUGGCUUCAAGAGUGGGAAUCUGGUUGCAGUACAAGUGCUUGGCUGAGUCCUCACCUCUUGUAGAAAACAUACAGAUCACAGUUCUCACCGGUACUUUAUUUCCCUAGGUUGCAGUGUUCUUGAGGGCCCUCAUUCAAGUUCAAAGUUCAAAACUUUAUGGAUCCUCACUAGCCCAGGUUAUGGAUUCAUAGCUCCUGCCUUAUGCACCUAUCUGCAUACAUAUACCUCUAUCUUUAAAAUGUACACCAACGUAGACUUAGAGUGCAGUCCUACUCUGAAAAACUAAAAAUGCAUUUUUCUCUCUCAUGACAUCUGCUCCCUGCAUAUAUGCAGUCGACUUUAGUAACAAGUUCUUAUCACUUUGUACUCCUGUUGCCAUGGAGAAUGAAAACAGCUAGAAGCUUUUAAUGCACAUAAAGAGAUUGUUUACUUACCUCAAGACGUUCAAACCCCAAUGUCUAAACUAAGAAUCCUAACUAUAGCAAUACGCAUCCAAGUAGAAACGGUAUAAUUUUAUGAAGGACAAUCAAUGCUGAGAGGGAAGAAAGAGGGUAGCUACAGGUGUUAAUGGGAAAUUUAGCUCAAGUUGAGAUCACAGUAAUAAAUUCAGGUCCUGUUAAUAGAAGCAGAACAACAUUCAGUAAAUUUUUACAGGGAUAGCAGGGGGCACAUUUUGACCUACAAAAUCCUUAUCACCAACAAUUGUGGUUGAAGAGGUGAGAGUCCUGGUUAAUUUUCAAGUCCAAGAUGAUUUAGUGACAUUGGACUUUUUUUUUGUCCCACCCUCAUUAAAAAAGGGCAGGGCCCACCUUCAUUAAAAAAGGGCAAUCAUACUAAUUUUUUCUGUUGUGCACAAUUGUCAGAUGGUCACCACUCUCAAAGCAAGAACAUAUCCCCUGAACUGAUAUGUCCUCACUAGGCACGUCUAUGCAUGAUGCUACAUCACCAUAGCAAUUCACUACGGUGAUGUAGGCCUGCGGGCAAAAACUGUGAUGCAGCUAUGUCGCUGUAGUGAUGUGCUCCCCCAUUAUAGUGCGUCACUACAAUGACAUUGUGCCUAAAAAUAACUGUGUAGCAUGCGGGGCAUGGUACAGGCUGUUACUGUGCCAUCAUUUAGUACUUCCCAAAGGAAGUACUAAAUGAUGGCGCAGUAACAAUGGCACUAUAGUGUCACAUGUAGAUGCACUCCCUGAAUCGUAUUUAUGUCAGAAGUUUAGCUAGUUUUCUAGUUUUGCUAUAGAUCUGCUUUAACAAGAAAAAGUUAUUUGAUUAAUGUGUUUCCCAUUCUUCUCCCCCUUUUUAACUCAGGUGGCUGAAGGGAUUUUCUGCUCAGGAUUUCAGCAUAACCUUCUGACAGGCCAUGUAGAAAAGUUUUCUCCAUCCUCAAGUCAACAGAAGAAUACAAACCUCUGAAAAUAGAAAGCUUAGUGCAAAUGGUGUCAUCCUUAACAUGUGAGGUAACUGCUUACAUAGCAGCAACUGCUGUAAAAAAAAAACACCCUAGCAAUAAAAAGUUAAUAAUUGGA